UCGAAUGUCAGUGUAAAAGGGAGGGAGGGUCCCCCGGGCCCCGCAGCAGCCCCGGGCCCCGCGGCACCGCACACCUUCCCAGCGCUCUCCGCUCGCAGGAACUAAACCCCGCCACCAUGUCUGACGAGGAAGUGGAGCAGGGCGAGGAGGAGUAUGAAGAAGAAGAAGCCCAGGAGGAAG
This is a long non-coding RNA of Ornithorhynchus anatinus (platypus), 180 nucleotides long. RefSeq lists it as uncharacterized. Lineage: Eukaryota; Metazoa; Chordata; Mammalia; Monotremata; Ornithorhynchidae. The transcript has 5 exons. The record is from RefSeq and is a predicted model, not a curated record.